GUUACCAAUAAUAACUUUGGAAAUGUGUGCGUUUCUAUCAAAGUAAAUGCCUUAUCACGUUGCAAUAGUUUCUGCAUGUCGCGUUGCCGUUUCUACUGUAGCAUAAUAUUUUUUUGUAUAUUCCUUAUAUCUGCGGACACGUGAGGAAAUGUUACUCAUUUCAUAACCUUUAUGCUAAUUGCGUCAGAAGUAUUAGCAUGUGUUGUAUUUUGAAACUACCCUGGCCUUAUGACUCCCAGGUGGCACAGCGUCUCAGUGCUAGAGGCGUCACUACAGACACACAGGUUAAAAUCCAGACUGCGUUUCUAUCAAAUGGCACAGCUGUCUAAGGCACAGCAUCUCAGUGCUAGAGGCGUCACUACAGACACCCUGGUUUAAAUCCAGACUGUGUUUCUAUCAAAGUGGUCCACCUUCCGUGAGGCCGGCAUGGUUGCUGUAUGGACAGUGGAGAGGACAUGGAUGUCUCAUUUGUCAUGCCAUCUUACUGCCAGCUGUUUACAUUUCUUAUUUUGUAUAACGGGUCAUUUAGGAUGGCAGUAGAAUUUUUUGAGGACUUCUGGAAAUGAAUGGUGGGAUGUGAACAAUGGUGGACGACCCCCCCCCCUUGAACAUGCAUACUAUAAAUAGACCAAACUCAUCUUGUGUCCUCUCAUUAUCUUUGGUUUCUGUGAGGGAAAAAAGCAUGGCAGCGCGCAGAAACUACCCAUCGUAGGAUUACUUUACAUUUCUAGAGAGGGUUUUACUAAAUUAUUUUGAUCAAUGGUGAGCUCACCCAUGAUGUGAUUAAUUAUAAAUAGCCAUUUCGAUUAGCUAAUUCAUAUUGUACUUUGUUAGCAAGAGUUAAAGGACUGUGUUUGUGCAAAAUGUUUCUGAAAAAAGUGUGGCCAGCUCAAAUGCUGAUUGUUGCGUCAUUUGAAACUGGCCAUUCUAAAUAAGCGUUUGGUCAUGUAGUGCAUAGUUAAAAUAUAUCUGCAUCUGACUGGAAGUGUACGGAGACUUUUUCCUGUUUCUCCUGUUUUGCCUUUUGCUUCCAGCACCUUCAGAAAUCAAAUCGCAAUCCAAUCAAAUCCAAUUUUAUUGGUCACAUACACAUGGUUAGCAGAUCUUAUUGUGUUAUUGUGUAGCGAAAUGCUUGUGCUUCUAGUUCCGACAGUGCAGCAAUAUCUAACAAGUAAUAUCUAACAAUUCCACAACAACUACCUAAUACACACAAAUCUAAGCAUUGGAACGGAAUAACAAUAUAUAAAUAUAUGGAUGAGCAAAGUCAGAGCGGCAUAGACUACGA
Molecule: long non-coding RNA, 1285 nt
Organism: Oncorhynchus nerka (sockeye salmon)
Lineage: Eukaryota; Metazoa; Chordata; Actinopteri; Salmoniformes; Salmonidae
Exons: 3
Source: RefSeq, a predicted model, not a curated record